CUUCACCGAGCCCAGCCAGAGCGGCCGCUCCGCGUCCCGGUCGCGACCGUAGGUGGCGAGCAGCGCCUGGGCCUC
RNAcentral lists this antisense RNA (75 nucleotides) under Pseudonocardia sp. HH130629-09. RNAcentral's name for it is "ASpks TB sRNA". It matches the Rfam family "ASpks TB sRNA". The record is from Rfam by way of RNAcentral. Lineage: Bacteria; Bacillati; Actinomycetota; Actinomycetes; Pseudonocardiales; Pseudonocardiaceae.